AUAGGGAAUUAGUACUACACUGCGUGAGCGGAACGAAAACAACAACACCUAAAAUGUGGAAUAUAGCAUAUAGUCGACAAGAGAAAUCUACGAAAAACAAACAAAACUUUCAACAACGGAUCUCUUGGUUCUCGCAUCGAUGAAGAGCGCAGCGAAAUGCGAUACCUAGUGUGAAUUGCAGCCAUCGUGAAUCAUCGAGUUCUUGAACGCACAUUGCGCCCCUCGGCAUUCCGGGGGGCAUGCCUGUUUGAGCGUCGUUUCCAUCUUGCGCGUGCGCAGAGUUGGGGGAGCGGAGCGGACGACGUGUAAAGAGCGUCGGAGCUGCGACUCGCCUGAAAGGGAGCGAAGCUGGCCGAGCGAACUAGACUUUUUUUCAGGGACGCUUGGCGGCCGAGAGCGAGUGUUGCGAGACAACAAAAAGCUCGACCUCAAAUCAGGUAGGAAUACCCGCUGAACUUAAGCAUAUCAAUAAGCGGAGGAA
RNAcentral lists this ribosomal RNA (481 nucleotides) under Pichia kudriavzevii. RNAcentral describes it as "eukaryotic LSU rRNA". The stretch from base 105 to 257 matches the Rfam family "5.8S ribosomal RNA". The record is from RNAcentral. Lineage: Eukaryota; Fungi; Ascomycota; Pichiomycetes; Pichiales; Pichiaceae.